GAUGUGCCCAUGUCUCCCCUUGCUGCAUCCAUUAUAACACCAAGUUGAUGAGAGAAAAUAAUGCAAUCCUCAUAUUUGAUAAUGUUUCAAUUAUCCACUAACUAGAGAGAAAGAAAAUAGACAGCAGCAAAGAAAUAUGCAGGGAGGUGAUAGAGGAAAGCUGCUCCUCUUCAUUUGUCAGCGUAGGAAGUAGUAAAUAAAUUGGUUUAAGCACUGCCCUUUUCUAUAACUUGGCAGUACAGUUCUAACGAAUAUCAACUUGGCAGAGUGUGUGUGUGUGUGCGCACAAUUGUGUUGAUGAUAUGCAUCACACUGCAAAAUUUUGCAUUGUAAUAAGUGAUAUGCAAUCAAGUUGUGCAACAUCCUGGCCAACUUGCCCAUAUAGAUAUCCCAUGGAUGUGAGAUGUCACAUUCUCUCCCACAUAAAAUUUCAAUAUCAUAAUCACAAGCUAAUGAUGUGCUAAUAUUGUUGUGCUAUGAUAGGUACAAUUGCUAAGCUAGAACCGGGUCCUGGGUAUUGUGGUUUGCUGGUGCCUCAAAUGGUUCCAACUUGUCCUUAUUCACAGGUAACCCUUUCCUUGCCUUGCACCUAACUUUGCACAAUUUUCCCUGCACAAUUUUCUAACUUAUGUUGACUUUAUACUAAUUAUAACAGACCAUGCCCAACUAACCCAAAAACCUUUCAGGCCUAAUAUUAGGCAUUUAAUGAAAUUCUAAGUUGUUCAAUUUCAACGAAAUAAAAUAUUCAACACAAUACUGGGAGCAACUGCCUUCUGAUCCUGAGAAAGUAUCAGCUGUGUUUGAAAAAUCUAAAUGCAGCAAGGCCAAGUAAACUACCACAUCAUACUACACAUCAUAGAUUAUAAA
Molecule: unclassified non-coding RNA, 867 nt
Filed under: Hevea brasiliensis (rubber tree)
Lineage: Eukaryota; Viridiplantae; Streptophyta; Magnoliopsida; Malpighiales; Euphorbiaceae
Source: RNAcentral